GUUGUAUUUUCACCAUGUAUACCAAAGCACUAUUGGCUACUCUCUUUUUGGUUUAUGCCGUUGUGGAAGGACUAAGAUGUUACGAUUGCGACAGCUCAAAAGGCCACACUAACUGCCAAAGUGGAUCGGGAGUAAGUAGUGUACAAUGCGAACGGAUACCAGAAACUUUGAAUGGAAUAUGCCUUAUAUAUAAGCAAAAUGUCAACGGUACGACAAAAUAUGUAAGAAAAUGCUCCGCUAAGAGGUCUAAUGAGUCGGCCUGCGCGGGUUUAUCCAAUAUUACCUACUGUUACGAUUGUACAUAUGAUAACUGUAACGGACACGCUGUAUAAAAACAGGUCAGUUUAUUGUCAAACUGAUAGAAUUAAUUAAAUUGUGUGCAUAUUUGAAGCCAUUUGACAAGUUUAAAUAAAACUUUUUGAACCAAGUUUAA
Long non-coding RNA from Photinus pyralis (common eastern firefly), 433 nucleotides. RefSeq lists it as uncharacterized. The transcript has 3 exons. The record is from RefSeq and is a predicted model, not a curated record. Lineage: Eukaryota; Metazoa; Arthropoda; Insecta; Coleoptera; Lampyridae.